CUGGCCCUGCCAAAAGUGGGGAUUGUAACAUAUCAUUAAACUUAGUACCAAGGUGUUAUGACUCACCUUGUUUGCCUGGGCCCUGCAUAUAUUUGGUAAUGUGACGUAUGGCUGAGACAAACACCUAGGGCAUGAGAGCCUUGUGCCUGGGUCCUGCCCACAAGGAGCCUUUUGGCUUAUCUCUGCAUCCAUGAACUAGGAGAUGUGACUCUUCUUUUCUGUCUGGGUUCUGCAAAAACAAGUGAUUGUGACAUAUCAUCAAACCCAGCAACUAGACGAUGUGAUUUUUCUUCCCUGCUUGAGCCCUGGAUAUGCUGUGCAUUGUGAUAUAUGGCUGGGUCCAACAUCAAGGAGAGAUUGUGACAUAUCUCUGGAACCAGAACCUUGGUGAUGUGACUCUUCUCUCCUGCUGAAGCCAUGCCCACACAAGGGAAAGUGACUUAUCACUGGGCCCAGCACACAGCGCUAUUCACAGGGAAAAUAGUGACACAUCUGUGGGGUUCUCACCGAAAUGAUGUGACUCUCUUGCCUGGGCUCACCUCUCAAGGGAAUUUUGACAUAUUACUGGACCAAGCACCUAGGCCCUGCAUUUAUUGUGUAUUGUGACAUAUGGCUUGGUCCAACACCUAGGUGGUGUGACUCUCUACUUCUUCCUGUGCCAUGCCAAAGAAGAGGAUUGUGACAUAUCACUGGAUCCAGCACCUAGGUGGAUGGUGACUCUAAGACCAGGAUUCAACACAACUAGAAGGCUUUGACUCUAAUACGAGUCACAGAAGGCUCUGCGACUCUUCUAUUUUCUCUAGGUUAUGCAAAUGGAGGUGGAUUGUGACAUAUCAUAGGGCCAACACAACACACAGUCUACAGGUGGAAUUGGGACUCUCAUGCAUGGAUCCAGUUCAUCAUUGAUACUGUGACUCAGGUGGGAUUUUGACAUAUAACUGCACCCAGCACACAGGUGAGAUUGUGACUCUUGUAUGCUCAUCCUGCCAAAAGUUGAGUGUCACCCUCACACAUGGACAGAGACUUCUGGUAAGGUCUUGAAUCUUGUACAUGGACACAGUCCACAGCUGGAAUGUCAUAUGUAGAUCCAGCCACAGGUGUGAUGUUGACCUAUUUAUAAAGUUAGCUCACAGGCACAUUGAUAACUCUCAUACCUGGAUCCAGCCAAUAAAAUAUAUGUUGACUAUUAUAGCUAGGCUUGAGUAAACUGGUAGGGUCCUGGGUCUUCUACCUGUAUGAGAGUCACAGAAGAUUAUGACACUUAUGGAAAUUACAUAAAGCCCUCUGGCAAUGCAAAGUUUUAUCACGGGGCCCCACACGCAGGUGAGAUUGUGACUUCAAUAUGCAGACAAAGCUAACAGUUAGUAUUGUUACCUUCACAUAUAAACAGAGCCCACUGGUGAGGUUCUAAAUCUCACACACCAAAAAAA
RNAcentral lists this long non-coding RNA (1430 nucleotides) under Homo sapiens (human). Its description in RNAcentral is "novel transcript". The record is from RNAcentral. Lineage: Eukaryota; Metazoa; Chordata; Mammalia; Primates; Hominidae.